This 371-nucleotide ribosomal RNA is filed under the name uncultured bacterium. Its description in RNAcentral is "bacterial SSU rRNA". It matches the Rfam family "Bacterial small subunit ribosomal RNA", at positions 525 to 896 of the family's 1533-position model. The record is from RNAcentral.
ACGGAGGUGGCGAGCGUUGUUCGGAUUUAUUGGGUGUAAAGGGUUUGUAGGUGUCCUGCUAAGUCUUUCUUUAAAUCCCAUGGCUCAACCAUGGAUAAGGGGAAGAAACUGACGGGAUUGAGUAUUGGAGAGGGAGGCGGAAUUCCCGGUGUAAGGGUGAAAUCUGUAGAUAUCGGGAGGAACACCAGUGGCGAAAGCGGCCUCCUGGCCAAAUACUGACACUGAAAAACGAAAGCAAGGGGAGCAAACAGGAUUAGAUACCCUGGUAGUCCUUGCCGUAAACGAUGGGCACUAGGUGUAUCCCGAUUUAUUGGGGUGUGCCGCAGUUAACACAUUAAGUGCCCCACCUGGGGAGUACGGCCGCAAGGUUG